CCACCAUCAGUCUGGGAUCUGCAGGAGCAGGAUGCAGGCCUCCCUCUGGAUGGCUCCCUUCCAGUGGCACAGAGACCAGCUCACCUCCAAUGACAAGGAAGAGUAUCAGCAUGACGGGAUAGAAGAACCCCAGGACGAAGCAGAAGAUAUACUCAUGGGCCACUGCGGAGACCAGGAACACACCCAGCAUGGCUACCCCUCGGGCCCGGGCACCAAGGAGCUGGCAGGGUGAGGAAAGGAGUGAAGAGUGCUGCCUCCAAGGCCCCGAAACAGAGAGUGCUACUGCGAACAAAUCAACCUCUUCCACUCCACUGCUGCUUUUGGUGCCCCAUAACGACGACCCCCUCUCAGCAGGAAGUAGCCAGAAAGAUUACGACUCCCCAUCUCCCUGCGAUUCUCAUGAUAAAUAAAUAUCCAUGCAUGAUAAAAAUCGUGUAAAUUGACAGUGGGGACUGUGACAAGCAGGUCUCACUAAUGCAGACCUCCAUAACAACUGUUUCAGUACUGACUGAGUGGUUAAGUUAAAUGUUAAAAACCAGUGCCCUUAUACAAAGGCUGGAAUGUAACAAAAGCCCACCAAGAGUUUUGCCUAGGCCUUUCCUGAACCUCAAAGCAUGAUUAAACAAGUUUUGCUGGGGGUCUGAAGAAACUCCCCAAACCUCCGUUAUUUAGCAGGAGAUAAGAG
RNAcentral lists this long non-coding RNA (685 nucleotides) under Homo sapiens (human). RNAcentral's name for it is "PREDICTED lncRNA (TCONS_00062547)". The record is from RNAcentral. Lineage: Eukaryota; Metazoa; Chordata; Mammalia; Primates; Hominidae.